RNAcentral lists this long non-coding RNA (648 nucleotides) under Homo sapiens (human). RNAcentral's name for it is "HSALNT0392760". The record is from RNAcentral. Lineage: Eukaryota; Metazoa; Chordata; Mammalia; Primates; Hominidae.
GUGCACACCACACACAUACAGGGCAGGGCUGGCCACGCUUUUCCACAAAUCCAGUUUCCGAAGAAGAAUAAUGAGAUGCUCCACGGUCCCCUCAGAAGAAGGGUUGCUAAAAAGCAACAAGACUCUAGUGAGUGAAGUCUCUGAGCUGGUGCUGAUCUCGGGGAAGGCGAAUGUGGAUGAAAGCAUCAAUUUUGCAGCAGCCAUGGCUUGUCCUAUGAGAGAUGAUUCUACCACAAGAACCCAACCACAAGGACGGCUCCUCUUUGAAGUUUUUACAGUCGAUCUCUGGAUCAGCCAGCGAAGUCCUGCUCCCAGGAUCCAGGGAGAGACCAUGGGUGCCCUCUAGGGCAUGGUACAAAGGGAGGAUUUGUUCCAGUAGAGAAUAGAAUAGGCCUUUUCUUUCACCUUUUGGUUUCCAGGUGCUGAACUACAUGUAGGAGUCUUGGUAGUAAAACCAAGCUUAAUGGUUAUUGAAAUAGAACUACCAGAGAGGUGGUAGAAGCACAUGUUUUGUACAAGUUGGUUAACUGCCAGCAGCUUUGAAUCGUGUAACUGCUUACAAAAAAUUUCACAUGGUCCAGGAAUAAGAGGAAACAAAUGUAUGAAAAACAAAUUCCCAGAUACUUACAUUUAAAAUAAAAAGCAAAC